RNAcentral lists this ribosomal RNA (1577 nucleotides) under Lemmiscus curtatus (Sagebrush vole). RNAcentral's name for it is "16S ribosomal RNA". It matches the Rfam family "Bacterial large subunit ribosomal RNA". The record is from RNAcentral. Lineage: Eukaryota; Metazoa; Chordata; Mammalia; Rodentia; Cricetidae.
ACAAAAUCUAGCCCUACAAAAAAAAAGACAUAAUUAUAGCAUAUAUAAUAAAUUAAAUCAUUUAACCUACUUAAAGUAUUGGAGAAAGAAAUUUUUUCUUAGGCGCCAUAGAGAAAGUACCGCAAGGGAAAGAUGAAAGAAACUUAUUUAUAGUACAAAUAAGCAAAGAUAUACCCUUGUACCUUUUGCAUUAUGGAUUAACUAGAACCCCUCUAGCCAAGAGAACUUUAGUUAGAAUUCCCGAAACCAAACGAGCUACCUAAGAACAACUUUAUGAGUUAACCCGUCCAUGUGACAAAAUGGUGGGAAGAUUUUUAGGUAGAGGUGAAAAGCCUAACGAGCUUGGUGAUAGCUGGUUACCCAAUCAAUGAAUUUUAGUUCAACUUUAAGCAUACCUCAAGAACUCUGAGUCCUAAUGUAAGCUUAAAAGAUAGUCUAAAGAGGUACAGCUCUUUAGACAAAGGAUACAGCCUUUAGUAGUGAGUAAUCAAAACAUUAACAAAGCAUAGUUGGCCUAAAAGCAGCCACCAAUAAAGAAAGCGUUUAAGCUCAAAACUCAAUCUUAUCUCAAUUCCAAAAUAAAUUUUCAACUCCUACAAUUUCAAUUGGGUUAAUCUAUAGACUUAUAGAUGAAAUAAUGUUAAUACGAGUAACAAGAAUUAAUUCUCCAAGCACAAGUGUAUAACAACCCGGAUGACCAUUGUUAGUUAACCACACAUAGAGCAAAUUCAUAAAUAAAAUAAUCUAUAAACCUAUAAAAUGUUAAUCCAACACAGGAGUGCUAGUUAAGGAAAGAUAUAAAGAAAUAAAAGGAACUAGGCAAACAUAAACCCCGCCUGUUUACCAAAAACAUCACCUCUAGCAUCACAAGUAUUAGAGGCAAUGCCUGCCCAGUGACUAAAGUUAAACGGCCGCGGUAUUCUGACCGUGCAAAGGUAGCAUAAUCACUUGUUCCUUAAUUAGGGACUAGAAUGAAUGGCUAAACGAGGGUUUAACUGUCUCUUAUUUUUCAUCAGUGAAACUGACCUUCCCGUGAAGAGGCGGGAAUAAUAAAAUUAGACGAGAAGACCCUAUGGAGCUUUAAUUUAUUAAUUUACUUUCAACAACUUGUAAUCUAAUGAAAUUAAAAACUGAAAACUAAAUUAAUGAUUUAGGUUGGGGCGACCUCGGAGAAUAGAUCAACCCCCGAAAGAUUAUGAUUCAGGCUGACAAGCCAAAAUAAGCAAGCCUAUCACAAUCGACCCAUUAGCUAUGAUCGACGAACCAAGUUACCCUAGGGAUAACAGCGCAAUCCUAUUUAAGAGUUCCUAUCGAAAAUAGGGUUUACGACCUCGAUGUUGGAUCAGGAUAUCCCAAUGGUGCAGCAGCUAUUAAUGGUUCGUUUGUUCAACGAUUAAAAUCCUACGUGAUCUGAGUUCAGACCGGAGCAAUCCAGGUCGGUUUCUAUCUGUUAAACAAUUUCUCCUAGUACGAAAGGACAAGAGAAGUGGAGCCAACUAUAUAUUAGAGCUCUUAAAUUAAUAAAUGAAUUCAUCUAAAUUUAAUAAUUAAGUAACAUCAUACAUCUAGACAAGAUG